GAUGAACGCUAGCUACAGGCUUAACACAUGCCAGUCGAGGGGAAGCGACAUCGAAAGCUUGCUUUUGAUGGGCGUCGACCGGCGCACGGGUGAGUAACGCGUAUCCAACCUGCCCAUCACUUGGGAAUAACCUUGCGAAAGUAAGACUAAUACCCAAUGACAUCCCACGAAGACAUCUGAAUGGGAUUAAAGAUUUAUCGGUGAUGGAUGGGGAUGCGUCUGAUUAGCUUGUUGGCGGGGUAACGGCCCACCAAGGCAACGAUCAGUAGGGGUUCUGAGAGGAAGGUCCCCCACAUUGGAACUGAGACACGGUCCAAACUCCUACGGGAGGCAGCAGUGAGGAAUAUUGGUCAAUGGGCGAGAGCCUGAACCAGCCAAGUAGCGUGCAGGAUGACGGCCCUAUGGGUUGUAAACUGCUUUUAUAAGGGAAUAAAGUGGGUCUCGUGAGACUUUUUGCAUGUACCUUAUGAAUAAGGACCGGCUAAUUCCGUG
Molecule: ribosomal RNA, 492 nt
Filed under: uncultured bacterium
Lineage: Bacteria
Description: partial 16S ribosomal RNA
Rfam family: Bacterial small subunit ribosomal RNA
Source: RNAcentral